This 484-nucleotide long non-coding RNA is filed under the name Brassica napus (rape). Its description in RNAcentral is "long non-coding RNA (BNAP_LNC004789)". The record is from RNAcentral. Lineage: Eukaryota; Viridiplantae; Streptophyta; Magnoliopsida; Brassicales; Brassicaceae.
CAUGACAUUCCAUGAAUCAAUGUAUUUUGUGUUAAUGGGAUUUCAAAUUUUGAUGAUAACUUAGGGGGAGGCCUUGGUUCAAACACAGUCACACAAUUUUAAAGAACUUUAUGAUAUAAUCUUAUCGGGAUUAGAUCCAAGGAUUCCAUCAUUCCAUUAGGCUUUCUUGAGCUUUUACAGGAGAUCGGGCAUGUAAUCUGUCGUAUAUAUAAAUUAAUCUACACUUUUGUCAAAAAGACACAAUAAUGGUAUGAUAUAUCAGAGAUGUGGUGAGAAAGCUUUCAGGAAAAUAACAUAAUAAACAUUGUAUAUUUGUUAGAAAUACGUGUUCUUAUCUUUAGCUAGCUUUUUGUUCUUUUUCUACACUUACGAUAUAAUUUCAUCCCUUAUAUAUUAAAAAGAAAACAUUUUUAGAGAAUAACUUUAAAUUUGUGUAUUAUUUACAAUUAUACCAUUAUGAUAAUGUGUUAACACCAUAAUCCUA